RNAcentral lists this ribosomal RNA (492 nucleotides) under uncultured bacterium. RNAcentral's name for it is "partial 16S ribosomal RNA". It matches the Rfam family "Bacterial small subunit ribosomal RNA", at positions 29 to 507 of the family's 1533-position model. The record is from RNAcentral.
AGUGAACGCUGGCGGUAGGCCUAACACAUGCAAGUCGAACGGCAGCACAGUAAGAGCUUGCUCUUACGGGUGGCGAGUGGCGGACGGGUGAGGAAUACAUCGGAAUCUACUUUUUCGUGGGGGAUAACGUAGGGAAACUUACGCUAACACCGCAUACGACCUACGGGUGAAAGCAGGGGAUCUUCGGACCUUGCGCGAUUGAAUGAGCCGAUGUCGGAUUAGCUAGUUGGCGGGGUAAAGGCCCACCAAAGCGACGAUCCGUAGCUGGUCUGAGAGGAUGAUCAGCCACACUGGAACUGAGACACGGUCCAGACUCCUACGGGAGGCAGCAGUGGGGAAUAUUGGACAAUGGGCGCAAGCCUGAUCCAGCCAUACCGCGUGGGUGAAGAAGGCCUUCGGGUUGUAAAGCCCUUUUGUUGGGAAAGAAAAGCAGCAGGUUAAUACCCCGCUGUUCUGACGGUACCCAAAGAAUAAGCACCGGCUAACUUCGUG